GCCGGGCGCGGUGGCGCACGCCUGUAGUCCCAGCUACUCGGGAGGCUGAGACAGGAGGAUCGCUUGAGUCCAGGAGUUCUGGGCUGUAGUGCGCUAUGCUAAUCGGGUGUCCGCACUAAGUUCGGCAUCAAUAUGGUGACCUCCCGGGAGCGGGGGGGGGGGGGGGGGGGGGGGGAACCAGGUUGCCUAAGGAGUGGUGAACCGGCCCAGGUCGGAAACGGAGCAGGUCAAGAAAUACCAAGUUCAGCAAUAGUGGUGCACCUCUUUAAUCCCAACACUGAGGAGGCAGAGACGGGUGAAUCCUUAUGAAUUUGAGGUUAGCCUGGUCUACAGAGCUAGUUCUA
This is a non-coding RNA of Mesocricetus auratus (golden hamster), 344 nucleotides long. The record is from Rfam. NCBI's taxonomy places the organism in Eukaryota, Metazoa, Chordata, Mammalia, Rodentia, Cricetidae.